UAAGAAUCUUCCACAAUGGGCGAAAGCCUGACGGAGCGACGCCGCGUGGACGAUGAAGGCCGUGAGGUUGUAAAGUCCUUUUCGGCGGGGGGUCAGGGGUCCGCAGGGAAUGGGGGGCCGGUUGCGGUGAACCCGGGAUUAGGCCCCGCGAACCACGGCGCCAGCGGCGCGGUAACACGUAGGGGGCGAGCGUUGUUCGGAAUCAUUGGGCGUAAAGGGCGCGCAGGCGGCGAGGCAAGUCCGGUGUGAAAGUGCUCGGCUCAACCGAGUGAUACGCUGGAAACUGCCCUGCUUGAGUACAGGAGGGGACGUCGGAAUUCCAGGUGUAGGGGUGAAAUCUGUAGAUAUCUGGAAGAACACCGGUGGCGAAGGCGGACGUAUGGCCAUGUACUGACGCUGAGGCGCGAAGGUGCGGGGAGCGAACA
This 425-nucleotide ribosomal RNA is filed under the name uncultured Sphaerochaeta sp. Its description in RNAcentral is "bacterial SSU rRNA". It matches the Rfam family "Bacterial small subunit ribosomal RNA", at positions 356 to 774 of the family's 1533-position model. The record is from RNAcentral. Lineage: Bacteria; Pseudomonadati; Spirochaetota; Spirochaetia; Spirochaetales; Sphaerochaetaceae.